GAUGAACGCUGGCGGCGUGCUUAACACAUGCAAGUCGAACGAACCUUCGGGUUAGUGGCGGACGGGUGAGUAAUGCCUAGGAAAUUGCCCUGAUGUGGGGGAUAACCAUUGGAAACGAUGGCUAAUACCGCAUGAUGCCUACGGGCCAAAGAGGGGGACCUUCGGGCCUCUCGCGUCAGGAUAUGCCUAGGUGGGAUUAGCUAGUUGGUGAGGUAAGGGCUCACCAAGGCGACGAUCCCUAGCUGGUCUGAGAGGAUGAUCAGCCACACUGGAACUGAGACACGGUCCAGACUCCUACGGGAGGCAGCAGUGGGGAAUAUUGCACAAUGGGCGCAAGCCUGAUGCAGCCAUGCCGCGUGUGUGAAGAAGGCCUUCGGGUUGUAAAGCACUUUCAGUCGUGAGGAAGGUAGUGUAGUUAAUAGCUGCAUUAUUUGACGUUAGCGACAGAAGAAGCACCGGCUAACUCCGUGCCAGCCGCCGCCGUAACAC
Molecule: ribosomal RNA, 489 nt
Filed under: uncultured bacterium
Lineage: Bacteria
Description: bacterial SSU rRNA
Rfam family: Bacterial small subunit ribosomal RNA
Source: RNAcentral